CAUUAGUCACACUUGUAGAAAGAAAGCGUAACCAAACACACUUCAGCUUGAACAAAAAAGGUAAUAAGGUGCUUGACUGGGGGACUUGAAAAUCCCAAAAAACAUUCCUCACCCCUGGACACUUCAACAGGAUGCCAGAAGAGUUGCAGUAUUCUACAGUGGUUUUAAAAAAUCCAAAUUUUACUUCACCAAAAGGUGAGUCUUAGCAUUUAUUUCUCUCUUCGUCUAUCUUACUCUCUUUUAGUUCAUUUCUAUCAAUUAAGCUAAUUCUCACUGCCAGACCUAGCACUAAAACAGUUUUAUUUAAAUCACCAUGAUUUUAAUUAUUCAAAUUGAAGGAUGCUUAAAGCAAGCGAGCAAGUUAUGCAGCUAUUUAUUCCGGAUUAUUUUCAUGUUUUAUCAAUUCUGUGUUGGAGAACGUUGAUGCCAAAUGUAUUGUAAAUUAAGGUUUGAUCAAGUACCUCUCUGUGACAAGUUACAUUCUUACCACAGUAAAAACUAAUGAAUUAUCUCUCUCUCCCACAAAAAAAGAGAAAAAGGAAGUGGAAACUCUAUAUGUUGAAGUAAAGGCAAGGGGGAGUUCACCCAGUCAACCUGGUCCUGCCACAUCAUUGAAGGAGGGCCUAUUCCUAGUGAAGGAUGGCCCUCCUCCCCACUCUCAACCCUUUCGUGGAGUGGCAGUGUGUUUGGGAGUUCUUUGUGUCCUGUUGGUGUUAACAAGUAUACCUUUCUGUGUCUACUUCAGCACCUCCCUCUCCGAGCACAACACAAAUCUGGUGAAGGAACUGGAGCAGUUAACAGAUGACCAUAUAUCCCUACUGGCAGCCAAUCAGGACCUAAUGAAUCUCUACUGCAAGCUGAGUGAAGCCAAUCACAUUUUGCAGAGCGAUUACAUCAAUGUGUCUACUGAAAACCAGCAAUUGAAGGCAGAGAGGAUGAACUUGUCAAGAGACAGAGAUGGGCUCAAUUGGACUCUUGGGGUCAUAUUUCAGUUGAAGAAGUUCCCAGUUGAUAACUACUGCCCAUAUAAAGAUGCCAACAUCAAAGAUAGAGAGUGCAAACCUUGUCAAGUUGGCUGGGUGCUGUUCCAAUCCAGUUGUUACCUGUUUCUGCACAUUAAAGUCCCCUUUGGUCACCUUUGGAGGACCUGGCAAGGAAGCAGACAGCACUGCAAGAACAACAAUGCCGAUUUGGUUGACAUAGACAGUCAAGAGGAACAGGAAUUCAUUCUUAACAACACUCAAGCCUACUAUGAUGAAGAUCAUGGGUACUGGAUCGGCCUGACUGACAUAGCUGAAGACGGUCAAUGGCUUUGGGUUGAUGGACGUCAUCAGAAUCUGACUGAUGGGUUUUGGAAGCGUCAGCCUGUGUGGGGUCGUGAUUGUGCUUUAACUAACCCAAACAAUGCACCUUUGGCUAAUUGGAAUGCUGCAUCAUGUGGCCAGAGAAACCGAUGGAUCUGUGAGAGUAGAGCAUUAAUAUGGUCAGGGUAAAUUGAGCCACGUUCACACAGUCAAAGAUGUAUUGUAAAGCAGUGUAAAAUAAAAUCACUGAUAUAAACUAUGCAAUAAUUCUAAAUCAGCAGCUUUAAUUGGCACUUAAGGAAAUUCUUCUUUAAGCAUCAUGCAAAUGUACCUCACCACAGAUAGUAAGGAACGUUUAUUGAGCAAA
This is an RNA transcript of Coregonus clupeaformis (lake whitefish), 1671 nucleotides long. It is a transcript of the gene named C-type lectin domain family 4 member F-like, with no coding region annotated. The record is from RefSeq and is a predicted model, not a curated record. NCBI's taxonomy places the organism in Eukaryota, Metazoa, Chordata, Actinopteri, Salmoniformes, Salmonidae. The transcript has 7 exons.